Molecule: long non-coding RNA, 232 nt
Filed under: Gossypium raimondii (Peruvian cotton)
Lineage: Eukaryota; Viridiplantae; Streptophyta; Magnoliopsida; Malvales; Malvaceae
Description: long non-coding RNA (GRAI_LNC009979)
Source: RNAcentral
UUUUCAUGCCAUUGUCCCCCAAAGCUUUCAUUUUCUCCUAUUUACCAAGCUAGAACCGUCCAUCCCACCUAAGUUAGCCGUCAUUCACUUUUUCUCUCACUUUGGUGCUUCUCCUCCUCUGUUGAUCAAUUCCUGCAUUGCUCCUCCUUUCUCUUCCAUUUUCUUCUUCUUUAAGCCACCAUUGCUCCUCUUUUCUCCACUUCUAUUCCACCUUCCACCACUAUUAGUUAAC